CGUGCUAAUAGUGCAAUGGCAUAAGCGUGCUUAACUGCGAGACCGACAAGUCGAGCAGGUACGAAAGUAGGACAUAGUGAUCCGGUGGUUCUGUAUGGAAGGGCCAUCGCUCAACGGAUAAAAGGUACUCUGGGGAUAACAGGCUGAUUCCUCCCAAGAGUUCAUAUCGACGGGGGAGUUUGGCACCUCGAUGUCGGCUCAUCACAUCCUGGGGCUGUAGCCGGUCCCAAGGGUAUGGCUGUUCGCCAUUUAAAGUGGUACGUGAGCUGGGUUUAAAACGUCGUGAGACAGUUUGGUCCCUAUCUGCCGUGGGCGUUGGAAAUUUGAAGGGGGCUGCUCCUAGUACGAGAGGACCGGAGUGGACGAACCUCUGGUGUACCGGUUGUCACGCCAGUGGCAUUGCCGGGUAGCUAAGUUCGGAAGAGAUAACCGCUGAAAGCAUCUAAGCGGGAAACUUGCCUUGAGAUGAGAUUUCCCGGAGCCUUGAGCUCCUUGAAGGGUCGUUCGAGACCAGGACGUUGAUAGGCUGGGUGUGGAAGUGCAGUAAUGCAUUAAGCUAACCAGUACUAAUUGCCCGUACGGCUUGUCCCU
RNAcentral lists this non-coding RNA (591 nucleotides) under Massilia sp. BSC265. RNAcentral's name for it is "Bacterial large subunit ribosomal RNA". It matches the Rfam family "Bacterial large subunit ribosomal RNA", at positions 2339 to 2925 of the family's 2925-position model. The record is from Rfam by way of RNAcentral. Lineage: Bacteria; Pseudomonadati; Pseudomonadota; Betaproteobacteria; Burkholderiales; Oxalobacteraceae.